CCUGACCUCAGGUGAUCCACCCGCUUUGGCUUCCCAAAGUGCUGGGACUACAGGUGUGAGCCACUGCGCCCAGCCAAGAUAGAAUCUUAUGCUCAGACAGAGUUUGGUUUGAAUCCCUGCUUUGCCACACGCAUGUUGCAUAAUCUUGGUUGGUGCUUAUCCUUUUGGAGUUUCAUUUCCCUCAUGUGCAUAAUGUAGAAAACAACAUCAACCGUAAAAAGAGGUUGAGAAAAAUAAUAUAUUUAAGAGGCUUCAGUACCUACCAUGUUUGGUACGAACUAAAUGCUUAGUGAAUGGGAGUUGCCAUUUUAUUAAUGCUAUUUAUAUGCUUCUCGAGAGGGUAUUGAAACGCCUGUGGUUGAAGUAAGAACCUGAAGAUAAAGGAGAGGGGACUCAUUAAUGGAGUAAAGUCCCCAAGAAGGCAGGGGAAGAUGAGAUCCAGAGCACAAGUAGAGAAAUUAACCCUAGAAAGAAGAGUGGAUUGCUGAUCUCCUUCACACCUAGCCCAAGUUUUUAAGACAUGUGGAUUGAGAAGUCUACGUUCAAAAAGUUCUUUUCUUCCAGGAGGAUGUCUGAGUAAGUGCCACAGAAUUAACAUUCUGUUAAUACUCU
Molecule: long non-coding RNA, 612 nt
Filed under: Homo sapiens (human)
Lineage: Eukaryota; Metazoa; Chordata; Mammalia; Primates; Hominidae
Description: HSALNT0150141
Source: RNAcentral